CUGUGUAGUAUCCGGUAGGUAAGCGUUUAUUAACAUAUUUUUGGAUUUGCGUUUGAUUCUGAUGAAGUUUGUUUUUAGGUUAGAAUCUCCUGAAAGUGCUACCGGAAACGUCGAAAAUGAGCAUCGCUUCCAUGCUGAGCGGCCCAGUGCCAGUUCCUACGCGUGGUGAUCCGGUGACCCAUAAGUUAAAACCUGCCACCGACGCCACCGGAACAGUCGUCGCAGGUACCAGUUGGAGCCGGCAACGGCCGUGCCUGAUCCGAACAGCUACUGUUCCAUCGGGAGGAUGAAAUCUAGUUCGAGUCGAUUGUGCGGGUUAAUCCGGCCGCCCGCAAGCAAAAAUUGAACGAAGCAUUCCGAAGAUUGCCAAGCAACCGGAUCAAGACGGAGCAUGACAACGAGCAGCAGCAGCAGCACUACCAAAGGAAUGAGACCCGCCAGUCGUCGAGCGGUGGGUACAGCAAAACAUUGCCUACGAAGCGCGGCGUUACAUCACUGUCGGAAGUCCGUUGCGGUUCAAAAACGCGUCGCUCCAGCCAUCGACCCCCAAACUGCUGCUAGUCCUUUACCGAACAUGCGAAGCUCAGGGUGGUUAAAUCUUCGCGAUUUUCGCGAAUUUCGCGGAUUUCGCGGAAAUCUAAAUUGCUCUCACCGAGCAGGAUUUAGAUAAAUUUGCGUUCUUUCUUCUGGAAAUACUAGAUUUAGACAAACAUUUUCACUAGCCAUCGAAAUCUACGUUGUAUUCUUGAAGAUAGACCCACAGGAACAUUCAACAGAAAUCCAUUCGGAAUGACGGACAAACCCAGCCGGUCGAGUCUGUGCGAUGUAAAAGUUGUACAAGGAAGAGCAGCGCGAGGAAGUCCAACCCCCAAGAGAGGAGUCGGCCAUCUUGAACUACUGCACCUCAGCAUCGAAGUGUACGAGAAGCGGUACCAGGCGCAAGACAUUGCCGGCCAGAUGCUGGCCGAUUUAGCUUCGAACGCAACGAAGGCGUAACGUCCUGCGUUAGAACCAAUCAACUCGAACCAGUACUCGUCGCAUCACGAGGCGAUGGCCGGCGGCCUGUGGGUCCGGUUCCAGAAGGAUCGUGGCGGGACGUCGACCGGGUCAGCGGCGGUUGGCGGCAGCAGUUCUGUGGGCCGGGACGGAUCGGUGCUAGCCGACGCCAGCUAAAGCUAUCACUACAAGUAUCAUCCGGCGGGGGGGCGUUGGUUCGUUGAUCGGAGGACGUGGCACGGUGGAUCCCAGUGUGAUCGCCGCCGGCGCUGAACUCCACGGCAGUGGUGUGAUGUUGGAAGUGUUUCUCCAGUACCGAGCGAUUUUAACCACAUUUAUAAGACUGCCGGCGAUCCAGCGCUGUCCUUGGACGAGGAGGAUCUUGCCAACCUGUAGGGUGCAAACGGCCCGGGGGAAGAGUACGCGUAAAUUACACACUUGGCGACCACGACCGAGACCGGUGUACUACGACCUGUUGCUGAUGACCUACCAGCUCAGUAGGCACCUUUCGCUUGAGCUGCGCGAUGCUUUGGGUACUGCUCGGUGGAUAAAUUGUUACUAUGAAGCAGAUCGAACUCGAUGCGCCGCUCCUGAAUUUGGAUUUCGCUAGAGUUUUGGUGCUGCUGGAGCCCACUUCCAGCUGACUGGAAGCUGCAGGAUGUCCUGGGACGACAUGGGUGAGCGAAACCGGUAGUUUGAACAGCCAACGCCCCAAAUGCAUGUGCACAUCGCAGCAUCCGGUACCCCAAAAUGUUCAUUAGUCGGUUAUAACAGUUUUUCGAUAGUUCGUACCAUAAGUCAGAUUUGUUCUGCUAGGAUUAAAGUGAGAUAUUAAAAUUACUAGUAUUUAAGUAGGUUACAUUUUCGUAAUAAAUAAAUAAAUAAUUGCCGUUCAAAAGCCAAACGACAGGCGACACCUAGUGUUGAGUGGCAGAACAGAGCGAAGAAUGUCGAUUGAAAUUUCCGCCCUUUGAGGUUAUGUAUGCGAAUUCUGUUUUGUUAAAUUCCAGCGUUGAGAACAACUUUUGAGCAAAAAUUCGAGCUGAUACUUUGUUAACUUUUGAUGCUCUAUCAUUUUAAACAAUAUUAUUUUUUCAAAAUUUUUUUUUUUCAAACUUUUUUUUAUUGCGUUAAUUUAUAGAGGGCAAAGAGUUAACAAUCGUACUACUUGAAUUUUUUCUCAAAAGUUGUUCUAUGAGCUGUAAAUUCAAUUUUAAGUUUGCAUUCCUAUGUAACCGAACAGCGAAAAUUUGAAUCGUCAUUCUUCGAUGCUUUGCGCCACCUGUCGGAAUUUUUGAGCUUUUGAUCGCGAAUUUGAAAUUGAAUUGUUUUUCAAGUAAAUCGAAGAAAAUUGGGCUUAUCUAUUCACCGAUAGGUGGCAGCACAAUAUUCCCGCUAUUCGAUAGCUUCCCAUUUUUGCCACCAGGCGGCUACCGCCAAAUCAAAAGUUACACAUUGGAUGCUUUUUUGGCCAGAAUCCAGCAAAUGUGUUCCGGCCUGUUUACACGGCGCGAUGGUUCAAGCGUGGUCUUGUGCGAAAAUGGUUGGAUUCAACGCUUUUUGGUGUAAUUCUGAUCUUCAGUGUAGAUCUUCAUGUUGGCUAGGGGAGUUUGUCUUUCGAUUUCGUCCGCAAAAGCUCAUGAAUCAUCGAUACUCUCAUCUGAAGCUGGACAGGUGUGGCAUGUAGUUGUAGUUGUUGAUGCCUAAGAAGUGUUUUGGAGCAUAAUUUAUGCUUGGUUGCCUCUCUAAGCGGAUUUUGCGGGUCAAACUACGAGAUGAAAUCAAAUAACAACAAAUACUGGGAUCGGUUACCGGGAGGCGGAUAAGCCGACAUUCUGUUGCCGAGAAGCGGCCAAACGAUCUACUUUGAAGAACCAGCUGGGAAUUUUGAUCGUUUUGUGUGGGGACGUCCAUAAACUACGACGGAAACUACAGGAAGAAUUUAAUAAUCUUUUUUUGUUGGAUGGAUCAAUAAAGAACUAAUUUAGGACAAAUUUUGUGAAUUUGGGUAGGUUUACUAACACCAAUUGAAAGAAACCAGAUAAUGGGCCUAGGUGAUUAGCGCCUUCGCUCGUUGUAAGGGAUUUUCCCCCGUGUUUUCACCUUUCCUACCACUUCUUUGUCAAUGUCUCAUCUUCUUUUCUCUGACUGAAUGCUAGUUCGUUCGAAAGUCGUUUGCGUUCCUUUAGACGGUUGUUGUUGCCAGCUCGAUUUACUCGGGUUUGCUCAACAUUGUCUUUCGACUUCUGAGUCUUAUUCACGGUCAUCGUCUGAGCAUCCUCAUUCACAGACUCGCGCUUUACGUUUUCCCAUUGAUCUAGAACGACUGCAGGUUCUAGCGGGGACUCCCCAUCAACGCGUUAGCUCCGGGUUCUUGGUGUAGUAGGUCAUCGUCCCAACUCGCAUCGUGGACUCGCUCUGUCUUCUGUUCGAGAGGAUAAGCUUUACUCACAGCAACAACCCCUAAUGAGCGCAAACUUCCCUAGUCAGAUCUACUAAAUCAUUUCUUCUAUUCUCAGAUUAGGCUGACAUUCA
Culex pipiens pallens (northern house mosquito) is the source of this 3531-nucleotide RNA transcript. RefSeq lists it as uncharacterized. The transcript is spliced from 5 exons. Lineage: Eukaryota; Metazoa; Arthropoda; Insecta; Diptera; Culicidae. The record is from RefSeq and is a predicted model, not a curated record.